RNAcentral lists this long non-coding RNA (485 nucleotides) under Pongo abelii (Sumatran orangutan). RNAcentral describes it as "lincRNA". Lineage: Eukaryota; Metazoa; Chordata; Mammalia; Primates; Hominidae. The record is from RNAcentral.
GUGAUUUCAGCCACAGAAAUUUGGGAGAUAUGAGUCCUUGGCUCAGCAGAAUGGGACUAGGUGGAGCUUGAAAUUAAUGAAGAGAUGCUGCUUCCAGCUUUUGGGGCAAGAAGAAGUUUGGCCUCAUUAUUACACCUUGAGGUCAGCGGGUAUCUCAAGUCUGAGUAGUUAUAAAAGUGAGCUGAUGUAGUAACACCACCAAAACAACGUUUUAUCUAAAUAUUUCAGAUCCCCCAUAAUAAAUCAUUUAUUAUGAUUACCCUUUUGGUGUCAUGGAAUGAGAUGAUGAGCUUUUCUUAAUGAAGUAUUUCAUAGACAUAUUUUUUCCAUUUAUCUUGGUGUUGGAUGCUAUGUGACCUGAAUGGCAAAUGAGGAAAUACUUGUGCAAAUCCUGAAAUGCACACAUCUCCCCAUGCCAGAGUGCAGGAGUGGACAGGGCUUUCCCUGGCAGCAAUAGGAGCCCGGUCCUGAGUAGGCCCUAUCUA